Long non-coding RNA from Calidris pugnax (ruff), 924 nucleotides. RefSeq lists it as uncharacterized. The record is from RefSeq and is a predicted model, not a curated record. The transcript is spliced from 2 exons. NCBI's taxonomy places the organism in Eukaryota, Metazoa, Chordata, Aves, Charadriiformes, Scolopacidae.
CUUCCUGCAGGGCCGGCGCCGUUCCCCUCACUCACCCCACGCCUGGGCUCCUUCUCCCGUCACACCACCGUGGAGCCGCGGCGGUGGCCCCCCCCCGGCAGCGGGGAGAAGCCGGGGGGUGGCUGCGGGGCCGCAGUGCGGGCUGGCGGUGAGCGGGCACGGCUGCAGUGCCUCCUCCGAGCCAGGCUGGGGGGAGGAGGGCGAGAUGCUGCGCUGGGAGACCACCGCGGCGAGGGGGUAGCUCUAUAAUUAAACAGCUAAUGAACGAAUGGCGGGGUUGGGGAAGUGCUGUCUGCUGCCACGGAGGGCUGAGGUGGAGGGGGGGAGCGGCGGAGACAAAAGCCCUGCUGCUUUGUCACGGCUGGCUGCCCCCUUCGGCCUCGCUCCCCGGAGCACACAGCCCCAAGCUGCGUCCUUCCCCCCCCAAAAAAUAGCCUCGAGUGUCCCCGACGCGGUGACAGACACCUGAUGACUUCAUAUCACAGCAGCACAGAGGUGGCACAGCUCACCCCAUGCCGCUCUGCGAGGUGGCAAAGCCACCUGAACCCCACCAGCCCCCCAGGAGUGAGGCCAGCCUGGGGCUGGGCUGGAGGGAAACCAGCCACAUCCUCCCACCAUCGCAUCUCCCAGGCCUGCUCCAGGCUGGGCGAACACAAAGUGCUUGUCUCCUGUCCCUACUCCUGCCCCACAGCAUCCUUCAUACCCCACACUGCCCCGCUGCUCCCUAGACCCCACUGCCGUGCAAGCAGGGGAGAAAUCGAGAGGUUUCACCAUAUUUCUCUCUUGUACCAACCACACUGCACUGUAUCCCCAAGGAGAGCCGUGGUUAAGAGAAGCUAAGAGCCCAGCCUGCCCCAGCAGCAGCCAAGAGGGAUGCUUACAAUUAUAACGACAAUAAAGAUUUCCGUGUGCUUCUCGAAAACA